AACGUAGGAGACAAACGUUAUCCGGAGUUACUGGGCGUAAAGGGCGCGUAGGCGGCUUUGCAAGUCGGGUGUGAAAUCCCCAGGCUUAACCUGGGAACUGCAUUCGAGACUGCAUUGCUAGAGUAUGGGAGAGGGAAGUGGAAUUUCCGGUGUAGCGGUGAAAUGCGUAGAUAUCGGAAGGAACAUCAGUGGCGAAAGCGACUUCCUGGACCAAUACUGACGCUCAUGUGCGAAAGCGUGGGGAGCAAACAGG
RNAcentral lists this ribosomal RNA (253 nucleotides) under uncultured bacterium. RNAcentral's name for it is "partial 16S ribosomal RNA". It matches the Rfam family "Bacterial small subunit ribosomal RNA", at positions 524 to 776 of the family's 1533-position model. The record is from RNAcentral.